UGAAUUCAAAAACUAUCGAAUCAUGUACCGUAAUGUAGAAUAAUGUCAAAAAUAAUGUACAAAUAGCAUGAUCGUGAACUGGACAAAAAAAUGGACCAAGCACUGUAGUGCCCUGUGGUGCCGAUGGUCGCCGGAGGUAGAGAAAAUUUGGUUGAGCUAUUUUGUCAACCACGUGUUGUGCUCCUUGUUUCAUUCAUUGAGAGGAUUACUCUAGCUGGGGGCUGAAUUUUGACCGAAGCUUUUCAUCAAGCAAUUGGUGGGCAAAUACAAACUAGAAGAAAUCUUUACACUCUCGACCUCUUCCAUCCGAGCUCCAUAUUCUUGAGCAAAAUUAUCUCACAUUAAGUAGAUAUAAGUCAGCAACAUCCUACUUGUAACACUUAUAACCCAAUUUGUGGACUCAUUGGACUUCACUGGGUUAUUUGUUGAGCAAAUUAUUGUUGCUGUUGCUGGGCUUGUUGAUUCAUUUGACGAGAAAUUCUGGAGUUUGAUGAUGAACCCAGUGUGGAGGAAAAACAACAUGUUGAGGAGAUGUUUCUUGUUGUCAAAAACUCUGGAAAAAUGGUAGUUUUUGUUUCUCAAAAUCUAGUAUGUAGAGGAGGAAGGCUUGUGUUUGGCUUCUUAUAUUUCCAGUAGCAAUCUCUUGAGAGGAAGAUACUUGAUAGCAUGUUCUUCUUGUUGAUAUAUUCUAAACUUCCAGCAACCAUUUUCUGAUCACCUUUUCACACUAAACAAAAAUUCUUUUCAAAUCAGUUGGCCGUGACCAUUUAACGGCAUGUACAUCAUUGAAAAAUUCCUUUCUUCUCCGCUUUGCCAAUUUUCCAUAGCAAAUUGCUCGAAAAAAUUAUCUUUUCC
This 855-nucleotide long non-coding RNA is filed under the name Olea europaea (common olive). RNAcentral describes it as "long non-coding RNA (OEUR_LNC006968)". The record is from RNAcentral. Lineage: Eukaryota; Viridiplantae; Streptophyta; Magnoliopsida; Lamiales; Oleaceae.